This 249-nucleotide unclassified non-coding RNA is filed under the name Hevea brasiliensis (rubber tree). Lineage: Eukaryota; Viridiplantae; Streptophyta; Magnoliopsida; Malpighiales; Euphorbiaceae. The record is from RNAcentral.
GGAUAAUUGUGAAUGCAUAGGAUUUGUAAGGACUGUCUGGUUUAUACUAGGAUUAAGUGGAGAUGGUCGAUGAUCAUUUCCGUAAGACCCUGCAGCUGCUUGAAGCAGUGCCAACUGUUGGGCCAAUUGUUGCACAAGGGGCGCCUGCUGAUGCAACAAACUGCUAACUUGAUGAGUUUCCUGUGAAUGGACCAACCCCGCGUGUUGGGGCACAUCAUUUGCUUCUGGAACCACCAUUGAACUUCUCUG